AUUGAACGCUGGCGGAAUGCUUUACACAUGCAAGUCGAACGGUAGAGGGGGCAACCCCUCGAGAGAGGCGAACGGGUGAGUAAUAUAUCGGAACGUGCCCAGUCGUGGGGGAUAACGUAGCGAAAGUUACGCUAAUACCGCAUACGAUCUAAGGAUGAAAGCGGGGGAUCGCAAGACCUCGCGCGAUUGGAGCGGCCGAUAUCAGAUUAGGUAGUUGGUGGGGUAAAGGCUCACCAAGCCAACGAUCGGCAGCUGGUCUGAGAGGACGACCAGCCACACUGGAACUGAGACACGGUCAAGCCUCCUACGGGAGGCAGCAGUGGGGAAUUUUGGACAAUGGACGCAAGUCUGAUCCAGCCAUUCCGCGUGCAGGAUGAAGGCCCUCGGGUUGUAAACUGCUUUUGUACGGAACGAAAAGGUCUCUCUUAAUACGGGGGACUCAUGACGGUACCGUAAGAAUAAGCACCGGCUAACUACGUGCCAGCCGCCGCCGUAA
RNAcentral lists this ribosomal RNA (496 nucleotides) under uncultured bacterium. Its description in RNAcentral is "partial 16S ribosomal RNA". It matches the Rfam family "Bacterial small subunit ribosomal RNA", at positions 30 to 523 of the family's 1533-position model. The record is from RNAcentral.